CCUACGGGAGGCAGCAGUGGGGAAUUUUGGACAAUGGGCGCAAGCCUGAUCCAGCAAUGCCGCGUGAGUGAAGAAGGCCUUCGGGUUGUAAAGCUCUUUUGUCAGGGAAGAAACGGUGGGGACUAAUACUUCCUGCUAAUGACGGUACCUGAAGAAUAAGCACCGGCUAACUACGUGCCAGCAGCCGCGGUAAUACGUAGGGUGCAAGCGUUAAUCGGAAUUACUGGGCGUAAAGCGUGCGCAGGCGGUUGUGCAAGACAGAUGUGAAAUCCCCGGGCUCAACCUGGGAAUUGCAUUUGUGACUGCACGGCUAGAGUGUGUCAGAGGGGGGUAGAAUUCCACGUGUAGCAGUGAAAUGCGUAGAGAUGUGGAGGAAUACCGAUGGCGAAGGCAGCCCCCUGGGAUAACACUGACGCUCAUGCACGAAAGCGUGGGGAGCAAACAGGAUUAGAUACCCUGGUAGUCCACGCCCUAAACGAUGUCUACUAGUUGUCGGGUCUUAAUUGACUUGGUAACGCAGCUAACGCGUGAAGUAGACCGCCUGGGGAGUACGGUCGCAAGAUUAAAACUCAAAAUGAAAUUGAGG
RNAcentral lists this ribosomal RNA (586 nucleotides) under uncultured bacterium. Its description in RNAcentral is "bacterial SSU rRNA". It matches the Rfam family "Bacterial small subunit ribosomal RNA", at positions 338 to 915 of the family's 1533-position model. The record is from RNAcentral.